RNAcentral lists this ribosomal RNA (1325 nucleotides) under uncultured rumen bacterium. RNAcentral describes it as "bacterial SSU rRNA". It matches the Rfam family "Bacterial small subunit ribosomal RNA", at positions 43 to 1377 of the family's 1533-position model. The record is from RNAcentral.
CAGGCCUAACACAUGCAAGUCGAACGGGGAUUUUGUUUCGGCAGAAUCCUAGUGGCGAACGGGUGAGUAACGCGUAGGCAACCUGCCCCCCGGAUUGGGACAACACCCCGAAAGGGGUGCUAAUACCGGAUACGAAGAUAGCACCGCAUGGUGUUAUUUUGAAAGAUGGCCUCUAUUUAUAAGCUAUCGCCGGGGGAUGGGCCUGCGUCCGAUUAGCUGGUUGGUGGGGUAACGGCCUACCAAGGCGACGAUCGGUAGCCGGUCUGAGAGGGUGAUCGGCCACAUUGGAACUGAGACACGGUCCAAACUCCUACGGGAGGCAGCAGUGGGGAAUAUUGCACAAUGGGGGAAACCCUGAUGCAGCAACGCCGCGUGAAGGAAGAAGUAUUUCGGUAUGUAAACUUCUAUCGACAGGGAAGAUAAUGACGGUACCUGAAUAAGAAGCACCGGCUAAAUACGUGCCAGCAGCCGCGGUAAUACGUAUGGUGCAAGCGUUAUCCGGAUUUACUGGGUGUAAAGGGUGAGUAGGCGGUUAUGCAAGUCACAUGUGAAAUGUCGGGGCUCAACCCCGGCCUGCAUGAGAAACUGUAUAACUUGAGUGCAGGAGAGGCAAGCGGAAUUCCCAGUGUAGCGGUGAAAUGCGUAGAUAUUGGGAAGAACACCGGUGGCGAAGGCGGCUUGCUGGACUGUAACUGACGCUGAGUCACGAAAGCGUGGGGAGCGAACAGGAUUAGAUACCCUGGUAGUCCACGCCGUAAACGAUGAGUGCUAGGUGUUGGCAGGAGACUGUCGGUGCCGCAGCAAACGCAAUAAGCACUCCACCUGGGGAGUACGGCCGCAAGGCUGAAACUCAAAGGAAUUGACGGGGACCCGCACAAGCGGUGGAGCAUGUGGUUUAAUUCGAAGCAACGCGAAGAACCUUACCUAAACUUGACAUCCCGAUGACCAUCUAUGUAAAGUAGACUUUCUUCGGAACAUUGGAGACAGGUGGUGCAUGGUUGUCGUCAGCUCGUGUCGUGAGAUGUUGGGUUAAGUCCCGCAACGAGCGCAACCCUUACUUUCAGUAGCCAUCAUCAAGUUGGGCACUCUGGAAGGACUGCCGUGGAUAACACGGAGGAAGGUGGGGAUGACGUCAAAUCAUCAUGCCCCUUAUGUUUAGGGCUACACACGUGCUACAAUGGCUGUUACAAAGUGAAGCGAUCUUGUGAAAGUGAGCAAACCACAAAAAAGCAGCCCCAGUUCGGAUUGUAGUCUGCAACUCGACUACAUGAAGUUGGAAUCGCUAGUAAUCGCGAAUCAGAAUGUCGCGGUGAAUACGUUCCCGG